GUCAGUACGGUGCUGCUAGGGGGCUGGGGAGGAGAGGGUGGUGGGCCCAGUGGGGUCUGGGUGAGCUUGGGGGCCCGCUGCCGGGUUACGGCAGGUCCUGCAAGCUCCAGGCCCCAGCCCUGCUCUGAGUCUGGCCUGGCGCCGGCCCAGGGGCAGACUCUGCCAGGAAGGACUGAGCCGAGCUGGGGCGAGGCGGGGCCCUGCCUGGGCUGGCCUCUGAAGGGGCAGAGGAGGAAGAGAGGGGACCAAGGUCGAGGGGACUCCUGGCUUUGAGGAGCCAAAGAAUGAGUGUCUCUUUCUGUCUCUGGCCCCCUGAAAGCGUAAUGCCCAGAUUCACUGGAGGGCGUCGUGGGCUGCCCAGGAGCCAGCAAAUUCCCAGGUCACCGAGACUGAACUCGUGGCCUUUGAAAGAGAGGGGCCGGGUGCACAGCCCGCUGCGGAACUAAACCAGUGUGGGGCGUGGGGAGUGCUGGAAGCCCCUUGCUAGAGAGUUCUCUUUGUGUACGUGUGUCGUGAGGGGUGAGUCACGGGACACUGAAGAUGGCAGAACUGGUCUUUUCCCGCUGGACAGGCUCCUGGCUUGCCUCGCACAGGGAGAGUGCUCCGUGAAAGUCCUGGGGAUGUUUGCUCUGGAUGAGAAAAGUCUUAGCCCAGAGGAGUAAAAAGCAGCCCCACCCUGUGGCCCCUCAGGUUGGUCUGAGGGUCCCAGGAGGCACAGGCAGGAGCGCGUUGGAAAACGGCGUUGCCAGCGCUGUGGACAUAAAGCAGGACCUACUGGUGCUGAUGUUUCCGGGGGUAAGCGGCGAUGUGUCCAGGGGCCGGGCCCGGCCUGGGGCAGCCGACUGCUACCCCCAUCUCCUUCCGCCCUCCCCACCCACACCGCUGGGCUUGCCCUCCAGCCAGUGAC
RNAcentral lists this long non-coding RNA (907 nucleotides) under Equus caballus (horse). Its description in RNAcentral is "lncRNA (ENSECAG00000052813.1)". The record is from RNAcentral. Lineage: Eukaryota; Metazoa; Chordata; Mammalia; Perissodactyla; Equidae.